AUGUGAGUCUCUGGAGUCAAGCUC
This 24-nucleotide non-coding RNA is filed under the name Cricetulus griseus (Chinese hamster). Lineage: Eukaryota; Metazoa; Chordata; Mammalia; Rodentia; Cricetidae. The record is from RNAcentral.